RNAcentral lists this non-coding RNA (29 nucleotides) under Rattus norvegicus (Norway rat). The record is from RNAcentral. Lineage: Eukaryota; Metazoa; Chordata; Mammalia; Rodentia; Muridae.
UAGACAAGAAUGAUGGAUUAUUGAAGGUU